UACGGGGGGGGGCAAGCGUUGUUCGGAAUUACUGGGCGUAAAGGGCUCGUAGGCGGCCAACUAAGUCAGACGUGAAAUCCCUCGGCUUAACCGGGGAACUGCGUCUGAUACUGGAUGGCUUGAGGUUGGGAGAGGGAUGCGGAAUUCCAGGUGUAGCGGUGAAAUGCGCAGAUAUCAGGAGGAACACCGGUGGCGAAGGCGGGUCUCUGGGCCGGUACUGACGCUGAGGAGCGAAAGCGUGGGGAGCAAACAGG
Molecule: ribosomal RNA, 254 nt
Filed under: uncultured bacterium
Lineage: Bacteria
Description: partial 16S ribosomal RNA
Rfam family: Bacterial small subunit ribosomal RNA
Source: RNAcentral